UGGGGAAUAUUGGACAAUGGGCGAAAGCCUGAUCCAGCCAUGCCGCGUGUGUGAAGAAGGUCUUCGGAUUGUAAAGCACUUUAGUUGGGAGGAAGGGCAGUAAGCGAAUACCUUGCUGUUUUGACGUUACCGACAGAAUAAGCACCGGCUAACUCUGUGCCAGCAGCCGCGGUAAUACAGAGGGUGCAAGCGUUAAUCGGAAUUACUGGGCGUAAAGCGCGCGUAGGUGGUUCGUUAAGUUGAAUGUGAAAGCCCCGGGCUCAACCUGGGAACUGCAUCCAAAACUGGCGAGCUAGAGUAGGGCAGAGGGUGGUGGAAUUUCCUGUGUAGCGGUGAAAUGCGUAGAUAUAGGAAGGAACACCAGUGGCGAAGGCGACCACCUGGGCUCAUACUGACACUGAGGUGCGAAAGCGUGGGGAGCAAACAGG
This 428-nucleotide ribosomal RNA is filed under the name Pseudomonadota bacterium. Its description in RNAcentral is "Proteobacteria bacterium partial 16S ribosomal RNA". It matches the Rfam family "Bacterial small subunit ribosomal RNA", at positions 355 to 776 of the family's 1533-position model. The record is from RNAcentral. Lineage: Bacteria; Pseudomonadati; Pseudomonadota.